GCCUAUGGCCAUACCACCCUGAAAAGGCCCAAUCUCGGAAGCUAAGCAGGGUCGGGCUUGGUUAGUACUUUGAUGGGAGACGGCCUGGGAAUAUCGGGUGCUGUAGGUU
This 109-nucleotide ribosomal RNA is filed under the name Nestor notabilis (Kea). Lineage: Eukaryota; Metazoa; Chordata; Aves; Psittaciformes; Psittacidae. The record is from RNAcentral.